GUGUUCAUGCCUUUGCAUUUUUCCGAUUUCCAUUUCCAUUGUGACCUCUGAAUUCUCUCCCAUUUGGAUUUCCUCUCCAUAGUUUUCAUUUUUCAUUGUCUUUCUUCCUCAUUUUUGUUUUUUGUUUACGGCUUGGCUCGGCCUGUACGAUGGUAUUUCAAACCAAAAGGUCCGACCUUUUUGUAUUUUAUCAUGAGUUUCUGGUUUUGUGUACGGAGCUUUUCGAUUUUUCAAGCCAAAAGGUUCGACCUUUUUGUAUUUUAUCAUGAGUUUGUUGUUUUGUAUACGAAGCUAAUGGAUUUUUCUUGGGUGGUUGGUUGUUAUAUAGCAGCACAAAAAGAAAGCAAAAGCUUCUACCUUUUUGUUCAUAAACGUUGUUUGAUUUUCGUUUUCGGCUUGGUUCGGCAUGUAUGAUGGUAUUUCAAGCCAAAAGGUUCGAUUUUUUUUCACCACAUUAUCAUGAGUUUGUUGUGUUGUAUACGAAAAUUUUCGAUUUUCUUGGGUGGUUUGUUGUUAUGUACCAUUUUGCUCGGGCUUUGUUGGGUUUUGAUGUUGCAUAUGCGUUAUUUACUACCUUUUGUGGUUUUUUGAUUCAUCGCAACAAGAAAGCUUCAACCUUUGUUCAUUUUUUAUGAUUAGUACAAAAGGUUCGACCUUUUUUUGUUCGGUUUUGAUGUUGCAUGUGCAUCAUUUACUACCUUUUUGUGGUUUUUUGUUUCAUCGCAACAAGAAAGCUUCAACCUUUGUUCAUUUUUUAUGAUUAGUACAAAAGGUUCGACCUUUUUUUGUUCGGUUUUGAUGUUGCAUGUGCAUCAUUUACUACCUUUCUGUGGUUUUUUGUUUCAUCGCAACAAGAAAGCUUCAACCUUUGUUCAUGUUGGUCGAGAAUGACAAAGAAGCCGACAAAGAUGAUUACUGAAGAACGACAGUGAACGGUAUGUUUUCGUUUACCCAGCUUUUCUAUCUUUCUCUUUGGAUUGUUGUCAUGAUCAAUUUUUGUGGGCUUUUGUUGUGUUUUGAUCUUGCGUGGUUUGCAAUGUUUUUUUUCUGAAUGAGUUGCGUUUAAAAAAAAUGUACAUAACUUCUUUUUGAUUUCCCUGAUGUCCAUUGGUUUCAUGUGUUUCAUUUGGUUAUAUAUGUUUAUAUAUUUAUAUGUUUAUAUAUUUAUAUAUCAUCAUCUAUCAUCUUCAUCUAUCAUGAUACAAACAAGGCCCUCACAAUUCUAUCGUGGUUCGAGCUUUUUGUUCACAAACGUUGUUUGUUGUUCAUUUUGCAUCUGCAUCAUUUACUACUUUUUUGUGGUUUUAUCAGUUAUCUGAACAACAAAUGGAUUUUUAGGGUUGUUCAUUUUUUUUUCCUUUACUAGCCAACCAUGUUUUCUUUGUUCAGAUCUGUGUCAAAGAAACCAUUUUUUGUUAUGGUAUUUGUCUUUCUGCAAGCCAAGAAGAAAUGUCUUUUCACUUGCCAUUAAUUGUUUUCGUCAUUUUCUGCGUACCCCUUCAGUUACCAAUGCACGCUUUCUAAUUUUUCACUCUUUUCGAUGUUUCACGCUUUCCAUUGCUACACGCCUUUCCAGUUUUCCAUUUUCCAUUCCGUUGUGCCUUUUGGAUUGUGGGGUUUUGAAUUGUCUCCUGUUUCGAUUUGCUCUCACGCUUUUAUUAAGCCUGGAAUUCGUUUUUUGGUGGGUUAAUUUUCUCUGUCACCCAUUGUUGCCGCUGUAUGUGCAUUUGCAUCAUGAACAACCUUCUUAGCAACUCAUUACAUACACGUUUUUAUUUGGUUGCAUGAUGGUCGAGAACAACAAAAAAGGCAAAAACAAUAAGUGAAGCACAAUAAAGGUCGUUAACACUGUCCCACAAACCUAACUACAGGUUUGUUUUUUAAUUCUCUUUUAAUUGCUUAAAUGUUCAUGUUUGUUCUGCAAAGAUGUCCUAGAAAGAAGGCCUUCACCAUGCUUUGUUGAUGUCCGUUCUGCAAGUUUCCCAACAUGUUUUGUUCAUUUUAUUGUUAUAUGGUGACCACAUUAUUGUUUUCUUCAUGUUUUAGCAAAUUGUUACCUUUUUUUCAUGUUUUGAUGUAUUUCAAGUCAAACGGUUUCAAUUGUAUUCCAUCUUGUUUUUCUAAUGUAUUGCAAGACACGAGCUUACAUUUUGAAAGACCUUCGAUCUCCAUGUUUGCAAUGUUUGCGUUUUGAGCGACUUGCGAGGAAAACCUUCAUAACUUUAUUUUCAUUUCCAUGUUGGCGAUUGUGCAGAUCUGUUUGACUGGAUACAUCACACAACCUUAGACCUUAGCAUAUUUUAUUCUUAUUUUAUCUUUUGGUACACCAUGUAUAUCAUGUACUUACUUUUUUUGGUCUUCUGAUUUGCCGCUCACAUAGGCUUACAUUUUUAUUGUCAAUCCUGUGUUGUAGAUGAAUUUGGUUAAAUUAUUAUUUGAAGUCUCAGUUAUAUUUUUGUUUAAAUUUUGUUGUCUAUAUUAGUGUUCAUGUCAGUUCUUCAUCAUAAUGCCACGUGUGCAUCAAUUCGAACUCAUAUCUUGCAAAGAAAUCCCCAUUUGGAGACUGUCAUAAUUCUAAUUUCAUUUUCUGAUGUAUAUCGGUGUAUGCAUUUUUGUUAGGGUAUAUGAGUUUUCGUUAAUUUACAUUUUCAUGUUGCAUCUGCAUCAUGAACAACCUUCUUAGCAACUCAUUACAUACAUGUUUUAUAUUUGGUUGCAUGAUGGUCGAGAACAACAAAGAAGGCAAAAACGAUAAGUGAAGCACAAUAAAGGUCGUUAACGCUGUCCCACAAACCUAACUACAGGUUGCGAAGUAGGACAGUCACAUCCAAUUUAAAGCUUCAUAUCAAUGUGACUUAGUUUUCAAGGUAGCGUGUAAAAUCUUCAAUAUCCCCACAAUAGAUCCUAUUGGAAUUCGUGUUGUACACGUCUAAUCAUAUUUCACAUGGCAGAAAGGUAAUAAUUGUUUUCACCAUUAAAGCCUCCCAAUUAAUUAAUAUAUUAAUAUAUUAAUAUUUUCACCAUUACCAAAGCUAAUAAUUAUUUUCACCAUUAUAAAGGAAAACCAGUACGAGAAUUGUUAAAGCCUCACAAUUAAUUAAUAUUUUUUAGUAUUUUCACCGUUAUCAAAGCUAAUAAUUGUUUUUACCAUUAUGAAGGAAAACCAGUACGGGAAUUGUUAAAGCCUCCCAAUUAAUUAAUAUUUAUUAGUAUUUUCACCGUUAUCAAUGCUAAUAAUUGUUUUUACCAUUAUGAAGGAAAACCAGUACGGGAAUUGUUAAAGCCUCCUAAUUAUUAAUUAGGAUUUUCAAAAUUAAAAAACGGGUACGAGAAUUGUAAAAGACUCCCGAAUUAAAAGCGGUUCCCAAAUUAAAGUUCAUUCAAUACAAAAUACAAAAACUCAGGCAUAUCAAAUCAUAACCAAUAAUUCUCCUCAUUUGUUCUCCUCAUUUCUUUUCUCAUUUCUCCAACAACAUCACUCAACCCUUAACAAUAUGAGUACCCAAUCAUCAUUCUUCUCUGAUGCGGUAAGUUCUUUAACAUUUUAUUCCUUCUUCUUUUCUUUCUUAUUUAUGUUUAACUUCUUUUCUUUCUUUUAACAUUCCAAUCAUCAAUCUUUAUGUAUAUUUAUGUAUUACUUCAUUAUACGUUGUUUGCAUUUUGGAAUCGAUUUUUGUCCUUUCGUAUAUGUUGCUUUCCUAUUUUGUUUUGAAACUAAUUACAUUCAAUGUUGUGCUAUAGGGCCCAUCAAAUAUGAUGGCAAGAACACGAUUUACAGCAGCAUUUCGUGUUCAGAAGAACAUCAUUGAAGUUCCAUUGAGUUACCAUAGUCAAUGGAGGCCAUAUUACCCAACUUAUGUUUUAUUUGACUACAAUGGAACCAAGUAUUUUAUUAGGGUGCGAAAAUGUGGCACUCGAUGCUUUUUUGCUGAUGGGCUGAAAGAGUUUAGAAGAACACACGACAUUAAUGACAGUGUCAUUAUCUGAUUUUUUGCAGCCUCUAAAGAUACUUCUUUGGAAGUCGACAUCAUGAGACCUAUCCUUAGACAGACAUGUCGAAGGUCGGUUGUUACAACCAGAAGGCACAUCUUUACCGCUGAUGUCACCCAAGACAUGAUCGAACAUACCAACCCUUUGGUUCUUCCAGCAGCAGCUUUAAAUUUUUUGUUUGGAUAAAAAAAAAUUGUUCCUGUUCAGCGUCCAAAUGGCACACGAAACCAAUGGCAGAUCACCGUGCACAAUGGUCUGCCAUCUGUUGCAGAUCCAUGGUUUCAAUACCUCUGUGAAAAUAAUUUAAUGGCAAGAGAUGAAGUCAUGUUCUUCUUUAGGUUUGAUAAACAUGUCUGGGAGGUCAUAUUUAGGAAACAAGUUAUGUGGGAUGAAGACCUCCCGGUUUGAAUCACCAUGCCUAAAGUUCAUGACUUUUUUUUUGUUUUAAUUUUAUUUUAUAUAUAUUUUCAUUAAUGUUGUUAAUCCAAUACCUUAGGGUAUUAAACAAUUUCUUUAAUUUUCUGCUUCACAAUUAAUCACUAUCAAUUUAUUAUGUUCAAUGUA
Glycine soja is the source of this 4554-nucleotide long non-coding RNA. RefSeq lists it as uncharacterized. The record is from RefSeq and is a predicted model, not a curated record. The transcript is spliced from 4 exons. Lineage: Eukaryota; Viridiplantae; Streptophyta; Magnoliopsida; Fabales; Fabaceae.